Molecule: long non-coding RNA, 202 nt
Filed under: Hordeum vulgare
Lineage: Eukaryota; Viridiplantae; Streptophyta; Magnoliopsida; Poales; Poaceae
Description: long non-coding RNA (HVUL_LNC015423)
Source: RNAcentral
UUUUUGCAGCCACCCCCUAGAAAACCCCACUUGCAAGUCCACACCUCCAAAUCCCGCAGCCCUAGCUUCUCCAGCCAUUUUUAGCCAUCAGAUUCUGAUCCGAAAGCUUAUAUUAGCCCAAUUCCCCACCUACCGGACAUGUCCGUUGCUAACUUGGACAUGCUCGGAUGUCCAGAGCCUCCCGCAACCAUGGAUGAGCCCG